CCUACGGGUGGCAGCAGUGGGGAAUAUUGGACAAUGGGGGAAACCCUUAUCCAGCGACGCCGCGUGAGGGAAGAAGGUUUUCGGAUUGUAAACCUCUGUCAGUGGGGACGAUAAUGACGUUACCCACGGAGGAAGCCACGGCUAACCACGUGCCACCUGCGGCGGUAAGACGUAGGUGGCAAGCGUUGUCCGGAAUUACUGGGUGUAAAGGGAGAGUAGGCGGGAUGUCAAGUCAGAAGUGAAAAUUAGGGGCUCAACUCAUAACCUGCUUUGGAAACUGAUAGCCGUGAGUGAAGGAGAGGCAAGCGGAAUUCCGGGUGUAGCGGUGAAAUGCGUAGAGAUUAGGAGGAACACCAGUGGCGAAGGCGACUUUCUGGACAGUAACUGACGUUGAGGCACGAAAGUGUGGGGAGCGAACAGGAUUAGAUACCCGAGUAGUC
This 440-nucleotide ribosomal RNA is filed under the name uncultured bacterium. Its description in RNAcentral is "partial 16S ribosomal RNA". It matches the Rfam family "Bacterial small subunit ribosomal RNA", at positions 338 to 795 of the family's 1533-position model. The record is from RNAcentral.